AUACGGAGGGGGCAAGCGUUAUUCGGAAUUACUGGGCGUAAAGCGCGCGCAGGUGGCUUGGUAAGUGGUAGGUGAAAUCCCUUGGCUCAACCGAGGAACUGCCUGCCAAACUGCUGAGCUUGAGGCUGGGAGGGGAGAGCGGAAUUCCUGGUGUAGCGGUGAAAUGCGUAGAUACCAGGAGGAACACCGGUGGCGAAGGCGGCUCUCUGGACCAGUUCUGACACUCAUGCGCGAAAGCGUGGGGAGCAAACAGGAUUAGAUACCCUGGUAGUCCACGCCCUAAACGAUGGGCACUAGGCGUCGCGGGUGUCGACCCCUGCGGUGCCGUAGCUAACGCGUUAAGUGCCCCGCCUGGGGAGUACGGUCGCAAGGCUGAA
RNAcentral lists this ribosomal RNA (377 nucleotides) under uncultured bacterium. RNAcentral's name for it is "bacterial SSU rRNA". It matches the Rfam family "Bacterial small subunit ribosomal RNA", at positions 523 to 898 of the family's 1533-position model. The record is from RNAcentral.